ACGUUAUGCAGCGAGGUUAAGGGCUGAAGGUCCGGAGCCGAAGCGAAAGCGAGUCUGAAUAGAGCGGCAAGUUGCAUGACGUAGACCCGAAACCGGGUGACCUAUCCAUGGGCAGGUUGAAGUGGAAGUAAAAUUUCAUGGAGGACCGAACCAGACGUCUGUUGAAAAAGGCGGGGAUGACCUGUGGAUAGCGGAGAAAUUCCAAUCGAACCCGGAGAUAGCUGGUUCUCCUCGAAAUAGCUUUAGGGCUAGCCUCGCAUUAGUUUACCGGAGGUAGAGCACUGAAUGGUCUAGGGGGCCUCACCGCCUACCGAAACCUAUCAAACUGCGAAUGCCGGAUAAAUGAUGUGCGGGAGUCAGGCCGCGAGAGAUAAGUUCCGCGGUCAAAAGGGGAACACCCCAGAUCGUCUGCUAAGGUCCCCAAGUACGCGUUAAGUGGGAAAGGAUGUUGGAUUGCACAGACAACCAGGAUGUUGGCUUAGAAGCAGCCACACAUUCAAAGAGUGCGUAAUAGCUCACUGGUCGAGUGAUCCAGCGCCGAAAAUGUAACGGGGCUAAAACGCGACACCGAAGCAGCGGGAUGCGUAAGCAUCGGUAGAGGAGCAUUGUGUGAGGGUUGAAGCCAGAGCGGGAGCACUGGUGGACUUCACAGAAGAGAGAAUGCCGGUAUGAGUAGCGAGACCCAUGCGAGAAACAUGGGCGUCGAAGGCCCAAGGUUUCCUGGGGAAGGUUCAUCCACCCAGGGUAAGUCGGGACCUAAGCCGAGGACUGAGGUCGUAGGCGAUGGACAGCAGGUAGAGAUUCCUGCACCACUUACACUUGUUUGACGAAGCAGUGACACAGAAGGAUAGGACGAGCGCGGUGAUGGUCAACCGCGUAGGCGGCACGAGGCCGGGAAGCAGUGAAGUACACUUCCCGCGAAGGCUGAGUGUUGACAGGACCGAAAAGAAGUAGGGAAGCGUCCGAGUUCACGCUGGCGAGAAAAGCUGCUAAGGAGAGUGUGAGUGCCCGUACCGGAAACCGACGCAGGUGGGCGAGGAGAGAAUCCUGAGACGGACGGGAGAACUCUUGUUAAGGAACUCGGCAAAAUGACCCCGUAACUUCGGGAGAAGGGGUGCCUCGAAAGAGGCCGCAGAGAAUAGUCACAAGCGACUGUUUAGCAAAAACACAGGUAUCUGCGAAAGCGAGAGCUGACGUAUAGGUGCUGACGCCUGCCCGGUGCUGGAAGGUUAAGGGGAAGUGUUAGGGGAAACCCGAAGCAGAGAACCGAAGCCCCAGUAAACGGCGGCCGUAACUAUAACGGUCCUAAGGUAGCGAAAUUCCUUGUCGGGUAAGUUCCG
This 1340-nucleotide ribosomal RNA is filed under the name human gut metagenome. RNAcentral's name for it is "bacterial LSU rRNA". It matches the Rfam family "Bacterial large subunit ribosomal RNA", at positions 630 to 1985 of the family's 2925-position model. The record is from RNAcentral.